Long non-coding RNA from Prosopis cineraria, 455 nucleotides. RefSeq lists it as uncharacterized. The record is from RefSeq and is a predicted model, not a curated record. NCBI's taxonomy places the organism in Eukaryota, Viridiplantae, Streptophyta, Magnoliopsida, Fabales, Fabaceae. The transcript has 2 exons.
GUCGGAGAGGCUACUGAUAGAGUGACUUUCAAAUUGACUUUUCAUACUGUGAGCGGCCACACAAUCAAGCACUUGUCUGCUUUCAUUCAUGGUUCCGGUCUUAUCGACAGUCAUGCUUGCAAAGAGGAACGUUGAUGUCAAGAGCCAAAAGUCUGCGUAAAACAUGGAGGACUUUACGUCCUUAUAACAAGGCCCACGAAGAAAACUCAUGGUGAGAGCUAUAACAGGGAGGCCCCCGAAGAAAGGCCGCUACUAUAUCACAGAACAGUUGUAUAAAGUAACAUGUACUGUAGUUAGUUCCUGAUCUGUACAGUUGUUUUUCUUAAUCUUGCAGCAAUUAUAUACGGACCUGUUUGCGCAUGUUUGCGGCUUACUCUGUUGUAGAGUGAUAGAACUCAGAACAAUGCUUGAGUCCAAGUUAUAAAUAUAUGCAAAAGUAGCUCCUUUCUUCCUUU